GACGAACGCUGGCGGCGUGCUUAACACAUGCAAGUCGAACGGAAAGGCCCUGCUUUUGUGGGGUGCUCGAGUGGCGAACGGGGGCGUAACACGUGAGUAACCUGCUCUUGACUUUGGGAUAACUUCAGGAAACUGGGGCUAAUACCGGAUAGGAGCUCCUGCUGCAUGGAGGGGGUUGGAAAGUUUCGGCGGGUGGGGAUGGACUCGCGGCUUAUCAGCUUGUUGGUGGGGUAGUGGCUUACCCAGGCUUUGAAGGGUAGCCGGCCUGAGAGGGUGACCGGCCACAUUGGGACUGAGAUACGGCCCAGACUCCUACGGGAGGCAGCAGUGGGGAAUAUUGCACAAUGGGCGGAAGCCUGAUGCAGCAACGCCGCGGGCGGGAUGACGGCCUUCGGGUUGUAAACCGCUUUCGCCUGUGACGAAGCUUGAGUGACGGUAAUGGGUAAAGAAGCACCGGCUAACUACGUG
Molecule: ribosomal RNA, 468 nt
Filed under: uncultured bacterium
Lineage: Bacteria
Description: partial 16S ribosomal RNA
Rfam family: Bacterial small subunit ribosomal RNA
Source: RNAcentral